RNAcentral lists this unclassified non-coding RNA (285 nucleotides) under Venturiales sp. Its description in RNAcentral is "partial contains 5.8S ribosomal RNA, internal transcribed spacer 2, and large subunit ribosomal RNA". The stretch from base 1 to 71 matches the Rfam family "5.8S ribosomal RNA", at positions 84 to 154 of the family's 154-position model. Lineage: Eukaryota; Fungi; Ascomycota; Dothideomycetes; Venturiales. The record is from RNAcentral.
GUGAAUCAUCGAAUCUUUGAACGCAUAUUGCGCCCCUUGGUAUUCCGGGGGGCACACCUGUUCGAGCGCCAUUCGGACCCUCAAGCGUCGCUUGGUGUUGGGCGAGGUCCCGGGGGACCCGCCCGCAACUCGUAGGCGGCCGCCGCCCACGCCCCCUAGCGUAGCAGGCUACACGCACCCGCUCGGGGGACGGCGCGCAGUCGCCCGCAAUUUCAAACCCAAAAGGUUUGGCCUCGGAUCAGGUGGGGAUACCCGCUGAACUUAAGCAUAUCAAUAAGCGGAGGA